AACGAACGCUGGCGGCAUGCCUAACACAUGCAAGUCGAACGAGACCUUCGGGUCUGGUUGCUCACGGGUGCGUAACGCGUGGGAACCUGCCCUUAUGUUCGGAAUAACUCCCCGACAGGGGUGCUAAUACCGGAUAAUUUCUUCUGACCCAAGAUUUAUCGCCUUUGUGUGGGCCGGCGUUGGAUUAGCUUGUUGGCGGGGUAAAAGCCUACCAAGGCGACGAUCCAUAGCUGGUCUGAGAGGAUGAUCAGCCACACUGGGACAGAGACACGGGCCAGACUCCUACGGGAGGCAGCAGUGGGGAAUAUUGGACAAUGGGCGCAAGCCUGAUCCAGCCAUACCGCGUGGGUGAAGAAGGCCUUCGGGUUGUAAAGCCCUUUUGUUGGGAAAGAAAAGCAGCAGGUUAAUACCCCGCUGUUCUGACGGUACCCAAAGAAUAAGCACCGGCUAACUUCGUG
RNAcentral lists this ribosomal RNA (458 nucleotides) under uncultured bacterium. RNAcentral describes it as "partial 16S ribosomal RNA". It matches the Rfam family "Bacterial small subunit ribosomal RNA", at positions 29 to 507 of the family's 1533-position model. The record is from RNAcentral.